Acyrthosiphon pisum (pea aphid) is the source of this 291-nucleotide long non-coding RNA. RefSeq lists it as uncharacterized. The transcript is spliced from 2 exons. NCBI's taxonomy places the organism in Eukaryota, Metazoa, Arthropoda, Insecta, Hemiptera, Aphididae. The record is from RefSeq and is a predicted model, not a curated record.
CUCAAAGUUAUUCAGAUUGAAGUAAUGAUCGGAAUCAUGAUGCCAAUAAUAACCGUGAACGUGAUUAUGAUCGAUUAAAGCAACAAUUUCAUACAUCAAUGCAUGAGUUGGUGAUGUUGAGGAGACAAUACGGAGAAACAGUGCAAAGAUACGACCAGGCAAGGAAAAAAUUAGAAUAUUAUUGCGGUUAAAAUCAAGUUGUGAUUAUUAAAAUUGAACAUGCUGCAAUCAUUCCGUGCUAAACUAGCAAAACUAGCAAAAUUUUGAAUAGAUCUGAACAGGUACAUAUUU